AUGCUGUGGAACCUGCUCGCCCUGACCGCUGCUCUCACAUGUGUGAGUGCUGUUACCACGGUGACACAGAGCCCUGAUGUUCUGACUGUGAGGAGAGGAGAGACGGCCUCCAUGGACUGUAACCUGGGCACAGUCACUGAUUCCUCUGCCAAAUGCACUGUGGUAUUUGGACAAGGCACCAAGCUCAUUGUGAACGAUGUGGCCCCUGCUCCUGUCCUGACUGUGCUCCCCCCCUCCCUCACACAGCUCCAGUCCAGCAGAGUCUCUCUGCUCUGUGUGUCUCAUCAGAGGGGGCCCUUUGCUCAGGUGACCUGGUUGGUUGAUGGGACUCCAGUGAACAGUGGGGUCUGGAGCAGCAGCGCUGUGCAACAACCAGACCAGAGCUUCUACAUGAGCAGCUCUCUGUCCAUCAACACAUGUGACUGGUCCAGCCAUAAGGUGUACACAUGUAGGGUGUCUGUGGGCACCCACAGCUCAGAGAGGCACAUCAGCAAGACCCAGUGUUGAGUAGUUUGAGUGGUCCCAUCACUGUAUUGAUUUUGUACUGAUAAUACAGUUUGUUCCCAAAUGCAUCAAAUAAAAAGAUCAUUUUAAAAA
Molecule: non-coding RNA, 597 nt
Organism: Boleophthalmus pectinirostris (great blue-spotted mudskipper)
Lineage: Eukaryota; Metazoa; Chordata; Actinopteri; Gobiiformes; Gobiidae
Source: the annotation of a RefSeq genome assembly